UGGGGGAUAUUGCACAAUGGGCGAAAGCCUGAUGCAGCGACGCCGCGUGGGGGAUGAAGGCCUUCGGGUUGUAAACUUCUUUUGCUCUGAACAAGGCAUGCUAAUGGGUGUGUUGAGUGUAGGGGUUGAUUAGCGCCGGCUAACUACGUGCCAGCAGCCGCGGUAACACGUAGGGCGCGAGCGUUGUCCGGUAUUAUUGGGCGUAAAGGGCUUGUAGGUGGCUGGUUGAGUCUGUCGUGAAAGCUCAUGGCUUAACUGUGGGGUUGCGGUGGGUACGGGCUGGCUUGGGUGCAGUAGGGGAGGCUGGAAUUCCUGGUGUAGCGGUGGAAUGCGCAGAUAUCAGGAGGAAUACCGGUGGCGAAGGCGGGUCUCUGGGCUGUUACUGACACUGAGGAGCGAAAGCAUGGGGAGCGAACAGG
This 419-nucleotide ribosomal RNA is filed under the name bacterium. Its description in RNAcentral is "partial 16S ribosomal RNA". It matches the Rfam family "Bacterial small subunit ribosomal RNA", at positions 355 to 776 of the family's 1533-position model. The record is from RNAcentral.